GUCUCUUUCGGAUAGUCAGUUUGUGUCAUGGUGCAGCUGCUUUCCACCGCUGAGGCUCUCGGGAGGGGGAAAGCUGUUGCAAGAAAAGGCACACGGUAAAUUCAGACGGGCUGGGGGCUCGUCCCCAUCUCCUCUUCAGCCUGGAAGAAAGUCAGGCAAGGUCAGGGCUGAAGCACACUUGAUUCCUGCCCUGGGUUUUGUGAGUUCAUUCACCGCAUUCCUGGAACGAGUGUGAAUAACAUAAAUUCAGCAUCUUUCUGCAGACAGCUUCCUCCCCUCCCACCUGCGAGGGGACUCUCCACCUGGAUCCAGUGCUCCACAGGAUGCUGGCAGCGUCACAGCGAGCAGAUUUACAGAUCCUCGCCGGAGGGUUUCAGCCAAGUCGCGCUCGUUCAGAGAUUUUCCAUCUGAGCGGGAGCGAGUUUGUUCCCUGCUGCCUGCGUCUUGGCUGCCCCUGUGCAGGACAUACGAGAGGGGAGCGUGCAGACGUGGAGCCGAGCCGGGUAUGUUUGCACGCUCAUUUCCCUGCAUCGUGGUAAGAUGCCUGUAAUAUCUGGUGGGGACCGGGGAAAAAUGCAUCCUAAUGGGUCGGUCUUCCCCCUCGUGCUGCCGAAGAAGAUGGUACCGUGGGGAGGUCGCAGCACCCACGAGGUGCUGUGUCCAGCCCUGUCCCUGCCCCAGGAGCUCACGGAGAGCUGUGUCCUGGACGUGGUGUGCAUGUGGGGCACAGGCAAUGAAAACUGGGCAACCGCUGCUGCGCACACGUCCUGCCGCUGUGCCGGCCCCUGAAACUCUGUUGCACCAUGGCCGGCCGGACCUCUGGCCACAGGGUGUUGGAAAGGGGCCAUGGGACGGGGAGAGCUUAAUGGCAAACCACCCCAUGCUGCCUCGCACAGCCAGGAGCUGAACUUUGCCACCAAAGCCCGGCUCUGAGCACAGCCUGUCCCCUGGGACACCCUUUCCUUUCCCUGAAAAAGUCGGGACAUUGCUGCCAGUGCCAGCUGCCCCUGUGCCUGGCCACCCUCCGCACAGCCUCCCCGCUGCAACUGGGGCUGGAUCCGGCUCCGCCGGGGGUUUGAGAGCCAUGCUCGGGUCUCUCCAGCUGGUUUGCUGCCUUUUUUUGGGUAAAGCACUGCUCUUCAGGUGCUUGCGUCCCACGUCACGGAAGCGUCACGCCUGCUCGAUGGAGGUUCACGUUGCUCUACACUGAGUAUCUGCAUCCUUGGCAUCCAUGUGCAGCCUGCUGGGAUGCUCACCGGCCCAGGGUGGGCUGCCAGCUACAGCCCCUUGGGAAGGGGACACAGGGACAAUGGGGACAUCCUUUCCCGCUUGCAAGGACAAGUGAGAUGUCUGUAAACCUGUUUAUUGCAGGCAUGACAAUGCUAUCUGCCCUGCCUGAUAACGGCAGGGACUCGGAUACCUUUUAAAGGAGAGAAAAGACAAGUGGAUGGUUGGAGCUCCAGAUAGUGGGUGCUGGGGCCAGGCGGUGACGUGCCAAUCCCUGGCCAGUGGCAUGUGCUGCCUGACGAGACCCAGCUCCUGCCAGCCCCUCGGCAUGCUCUUGCUCCCGUCCUACAUCUUCCCAUCUCUUGCUAAUCCUUUCUAAUCCCCUGGGCUCCGCUUUCCGAGCCGUGUACUUAUCCCACAGCCACCCUUCGGCAGUGAGGCUGGGCACCUGGCAUGUAUGGGCUGUGUCCCCCCUGCACGUGGCUGCCUCCCCAUCCCAGCUCGCCCUGGGCUCCUUGGGUUGGGGAGCAGGUUUGCCCCGCUGCAGGCAGGGUGCUGCCCUGCUCGCCCUCCCAUGCAGCCAAGCCUCAGCACACAGGAUGGCCAGAUCCAGGCCGGCAGGUGCUGCACAUCCAGGAGGACUGUGCAGAAAAAAUAAAACAAAAAAUAAAGGUUUUGCCUGGUUUUGUGAAA
Long non-coding RNA from Aquila chrysaetos chrysaetos, 1920 nucleotides. RefSeq lists it as uncharacterized. Lineage: Eukaryota; Metazoa; Chordata; Aves; Accipitriformes; Accipitridae. The transcript has 2 exons. The record is from RefSeq and is a predicted model, not a curated record.